Molecule: long non-coding RNA, 1839 nt
Organism: Sander lucioperca (pikeperch)
Lineage: Eukaryota; Metazoa; Chordata; Actinopteri; Perciformes; Percidae
Exons: 6
Source: RefSeq, a predicted model, not a curated record
GUAAUCAGACAUAUCCACAGUCCGUCUGCACUGUUGUGUGCAUAUAGUUGUUUGACUUUGAGAGGGCGGGACUCUUUGGAGAGCGAAAUGAACUAGGCGCGGCCAAAAGGAGCCCCAUCCAUCUAUCACACGUGUAGACAAAGGGGGACUCCACAACACAAAGCUAGAUGUGCCCUCUCAAACUUUUUCCACGACGCACGGCGACGCGCACAGAGCAAAACAUCCCCAGGUGGAUUUUAACACCAGAUUAACCAGCAAAGCGUGUUUCUCCAGUUGGAGGUUAAGGAAAGAAAAAAUAUGUGGAAAUCACUUGGAAGAUGUACAGAGUCACCUAUCAAGCAGCUUUUAAGACGCAGAGGAGGAUUAAGAGACUGUGCAGUUUUCUUUUGGAGAAGGUGAAGACUCAUCUAAUAAGGAUUUAAACUUCAGGAGCAGCAGUGCCAGGCGGGAUGCAUUUUAGGCACACUUGGAAAUCUGAAACUCAUGGAGACACUUUGAGGAAUAUAAAAUAUGUGUAGUGUGUCUCUCCACAAGACAACGUCCCAGCCCAAAGUCACUCACUGGGAUAGCAGGAUAUUGCAUUUAUGAUCCUCCUCGGGCCUCCGCAUGGGAGUGUGGGAGUGGCAAGGUCUGGGAGAUCACGACCUUAAUUCUCUCCAAGACAGACGGUUUAAUUAACACUGGAGGAAUCCUCACUGGCUCCAGACCUCUACAUUGGGAAUGUACAGGGGAAUUGGAUUGCCAGGGAUGUCUACAUUUCCAGUCAGCCUACUGUCCACAAGUCACAGGGACAAUACCACAUGCAGUCAAACCAAUUCGGAAUUUUGCCGGAGCUCAGCCCAAAAGUUACAUUGAACCUGAGAGUGAUGAAUAGGGCGCCCCCCCGUCUACGUAUUCCACAUUGCGAGAAGACCACCUCACAGGGAUUUUCCCCUUCACCAGUUCUUUUAGGCUUACCAGUGUCAGAGGUUCCACACUGUGAGAAGGAUCCAUGCAGUCUGCUGGGCAAAAUGGCGCUGGAGCAAGAGCUGCUUUAUAGGGCAGGUGGCCUAAUUGGACCCUACCAUUACUGGCCAUGUCGUGAGGGAGCUUCAUUCUUUCUUUAGAGUACUUUUUGCUUAAUGUUAAGUUAACUAAGUUACCAUUUUUUUUGGAAUAAGUGUUUUGUUUUGUUUUGAUUGUUAUUUGUAGUUUAAUUUGUAAUGUUUUAUUGUUAGUUUCCCCUGUGUGUCAGAACUGGUCUGAUCAAGCAGUAAAUGGGUUGCAUCUCAUAACCCUUAAAUUGCCUCCUUGAGUCCUACACUUGCCUCCCUUCCUCGCGUCUUAGACCCUCCUACCAAGGAGGCACGGGAGAGAUGCAAGGAAAUCAUGGGAGGAGAGAGGCAACGAGCAAAGGUGUUUUAAAGGGAUGAGGCGCCUUUUCCUCUGCGACACAUGAAUUUGUCAGCUGUAUGGGUUGAAUUAGCAACUCCUUCAGCUGCACAGCUUCCGGGAAGGCUACUCUCGUGUAUCCUCACACAUAACUCCUCGAUGCUUGCUCCUCGGGGCAAAAAUAAGAGCUUUGAGACAGCCUUCACCAAGGAGAGACAGAACAACUUCCGGUUUAGCUGAGGACUGAGGAGUCGAGGAGCUAUCAAAUAAGGGUUAUGUAAUGCAGUCUAUAUGUCCCCUUUGUUUCUUCUUUGUUAUGUCAGUUGUAUGUUGAGUUUGAUGUAUUAAAAUUGACAUUCUGUUUAGCUGACCUAUUUGAUGGGCCCGGCACUUUAUCCUCACUUUGGUUUGUAAACAGUUAUUUUUGAAAUUGUUGGGGUAAAUAAAGCCCUUCCUUUUUUCAAUCUA